UACGGGGGGGGCAAGCGUUGUUCGGAAUUACUGGGCGUAAAGGGCUCGUAGGCGGCCAACUAAGUCGGAUGUGAAAUCCCCAGGCUUAACCUGGGAACUGCAUCCGAUACUGGAUGGCUUGAAUCCGGGAGAGGGAUGCAGAAUUCCAGGUGUAGCGGUGAAAUGCGUAGAUAUCUGGAGGAACACCCGUGGCGAAGGCGGCUCUCUGGGACGGUACUGACGCUGAGACGCGAAAGCGUGGGGAGCGAACAGG
Molecule: ribosomal RNA, 253 nt
Filed under: uncultured bacterium
Lineage: Bacteria
Description: partial 16S ribosomal RNA
Rfam family: Bacterial small subunit ribosomal RNA
Source: RNAcentral